RNAcentral lists this ribosomal RNA (253 nucleotides) under uncultured bacterium. Its description in RNAcentral is "partial 16S ribosomal RNA". It matches the Rfam family "Bacterial small subunit ribosomal RNA", at positions 524 to 776 of the family's 1533-position model. The record is from RNAcentral.
UACAGAGGGGGCAAGCGUUGUUCGGAAUUACUGGGCGUAAAGGGCGCGUAGGCGGCCCGCUAAGUCGAACGUGAAAUCCCCGAGCUCAACUCGGGAACUGCGUCCGAUACUGGCGGGCUUGAAUCCGGGAGAGGGAUGCGGAAUUCCAGGUGUAGCGGUGAAAUGCGUAGAUAUCGGGAGGAACACCAGUGGCGAAGGCGGCUUCCUGGACCAGCACUGACGCUGAUGCGCGAAAGCUAGGGGAGCAAACAGG